AUUGAACGCUGGCGGCGUGCCUAACACAUGCAAGUCGAACGAGAGGCGGACGGGUGAGGAAUGUCUGGGACACUGCCUGAUGGAGGGGGAUAACUACGGGAAACGGUAGAUAAUACUGCAUACAAUCAGAUGUGCCCAGAUGGGAUUAGCUUGUUGGUGGUGUAAUGGCCAACCAAGGCGACGAGCCCUAGCUGGUCUGAGAGGAUGGCCGGCCACAUGGGAAGGGAGCCAGGGUCCAGACUCCUACGGGAGGCAGCAGUGGGGAAUAUUGGACAAUGGGCGCAAGUCUGAUGCAGCCAUGCAGCGUGUAUGAAGAAGGCCUUCGGUUUGUAAAGUACUUUCAGCGGGGAGGCGGUACCCGCAGAAGAAGCACCGGCUAACUCCGUGCCAGCCGCCGCGGUAAUAC
RNAcentral lists this ribosomal RNA (406 nucleotides) under uncultured bacterium. RNAcentral's name for it is "partial 16S ribosomal RNA". It matches the Rfam family "Bacterial small subunit ribosomal RNA", at positions 29 to 526 of the family's 1533-position model. The record is from RNAcentral.